Molecule: long non-coding RNA, 636 nt
Organism: Aegilops tauschii subsp. strangulata
Lineage: Eukaryota; Viridiplantae; Streptophyta; Magnoliopsida; Poales; Poaceae
Source: RefSeq, a predicted model, not a curated record
AGGUUAGGGCUUGGGGCCUCCGUCGGCGGACCUGCGACGCUGGGCGAACGAGGUCGCCGCAGCGCUGACGUACUGUGCUCCGACGUCCUGGGGAAACUCCCCGCCAUUCUCCACCUCGCCCUCCCUCUUCCCGAUCCGGCGCCUAGCUUCGCCGUCCAUCGACGCUAAAGAAAGGAACUCCAAUCUUCAGAGCAAGUAGCGUCCGAGAAGGGUCACCAUCAAUCAGUACAUUAUUCUAGUUACCUUCUAAUUUGAUAAAGGUCGUAUGCCCCUUCGUAUGCUCUUGAUGGUUGGUAAGCACCGUGAAGUGCCUCUCCUUAUCAGCAACAAUUGAGACCAGGAAGAUUCAUCGCCAGAUUUGAGACCAGGAAGAUUCAUUGCCAGAUUUGACUCUUGUGCAUCUCUGUCGUAACUAUCUAAGUUCCUAGUAUGUGCUUACCUCGAUGGCCCGUGUGCUUCCUUGCUUCAGAACAAUAUGGAGCAAUUACCUAACGUCGUGCUUAUAUUUUGUAAAACUAGAAGUGCUCUGGUUGAAUGUGGCACUAUGUAACUAUGUGUUACUGGACAUGUUCACUAAUUCUGUUAUUAAGUGAAACCUGGACCUAUAUAUUUGCUACCAGUGAUGUUCCAUCUUAA